Long non-coding RNA from Gasterosteus aculeatus aculeatus (three-spined stickleback), 12058 nucleotides. NCBI's taxonomy places the organism in Eukaryota, Metazoa, Chordata, Actinopteri, Perciformes, Gasterosteidae. The record is from Ensembl.
GGCGGACCGUGUCCUGAGGGAUACUACUGCCCAGAGGGAACUGUUCUACCUGUGCCCUGUGAUCCAGGGACAUAUGCUGCUGUCACACAUGCUACGCAGUGUGAUCCCUGUGUGCCAGGCUGGUACUGUGUGUCCGGCUCGCUUUCUUUGUGUCCUACAGGCUUUUAUUGUCCCGAAAGGACUGGAUUUGACUUGAGAGGCUGUCCAGAGGGAACUUACGGCCCUGAUCCUGGCUACUGGUCUGUUUCUCAGUGCAGGCAGUGUGACGGCGGCCAUUACUGCUCUUCCAGAAAUGGCACCGCUGUCACUGGACCAUGUCAUGAAGGAUAUUACUGCUCACAUGGAAACACUUCUCCCCAACCUCAGUCCCAGGCUGCAGAAAAGGGAGGAACAUGUCCUGCCGGUCAUUACUGCCCCCAGGCCACCGUCCAUCCUCUGCCCUGUCCACGGGGAACUUUCUCUAACCUCACCAAGUUGGUCUUCCAGGAGGAUUGCCAGCCAUGUCUCCCCGGUUACUAUUGCGAUGCUGUGGGGCUCUCGGGGCUUACAGGAAAAUGCUGGGAAGGUUUCUACUGUGUGGGAGGUGCAGAUCGCCCUGACCCUCCUUUGGGUCAUAAGCACGGAGGGCCAUGCCCAAAAGGUUAUUUCUGUCCUGAGGGCUCUGCGGCUCCUCGCCACUGUCCCUUGGGAACCAUCGGUACGGAAGAUGGUGGAGCCAGCUGCAGUGCCUGUCCUCAGGGUUUUUAUUGUCCUGGCAGACUUAACGGCUCCCUGUCGAGGACUUAUGAGUGUCCAGUAGGUCAUUACUGCCCGUCCGGGACCUGGUCCAAACACCAGUACCCAUGUCCACCAGGAUCCAUCAACCCCCACGCUGGGAUGGCCGAGCCCCAGGACUGCCUGCCCUGCCCUGCAGGCUACUUCUGCUUUACCCCUGGGAUGAGUGUUGCAUCAGGCCAGUGUGACGCAGGGUACUACUGCUUCUCUGGGGCCCGGUCACCCACACCAGAUGACGGAGGGACGACAGGUGAUAGAUGUCCCGAAGGCCAUUACUGUCCCCGGGGUUCCUCAGCACCACUGCCCUGUCCCAUCGGGCAUUACAGCAACAGCACCAGAAACCGUUAUCCCUCCAACUGUCUGCCUUGCCCUCCAGGUUUCAUCUGUGACACUAGAGGGCUCUCUCUCCCUUCUAAUAUCUGCCCAGCUGGCUCCUACUGUCCAGGCAGAGAAAACAGCGGGCAGCAGGCCUCUUCACCUUGCCCACCUGGAAACAUGUGUCCACCUGGAUCCGAUAGACCUGUACCCUGCUUGCCAGGGACCUUCCAGGAUUUACACGGACAGGCAGAAUGUGUCAAAUGUCCAGCCGGAUUUUACUGUGCUGGUUUGGUGGAUGCGGACACUGGCCAUGUGUCUGGUCCUGCCACUUCGACUCUGUGUCCUAUCGGACACUAUUGCCCACAAGGAACGCAGUCUGGUGUAGCAUUCCCAUGCCCAGCUGGCACUUUCAGCGGGCAGAUGGGGUUGUCCAAUCAGUCGGGCUGUGAGCUCUGCCCUCCAGGGAGAUAUUGCGGUUCCUCUGGACUUGCUGCACCCACUGGGGUCUGCUCUCCAGGUUACCUCUGUAGCCAUGGUUCGGUUUCUUUCAAGCCGGAGGAGGGCCCAACAGGAGGCCGUUGCUCUGCAGGGUCCUAUUGCCCCCAGGGUACCCACUACAUGGUUCCUUGCCCUACAGGCACCUUCAGUUCCAAAGACGGGGCCGUUUCUGUAGAGGUUUGUCGGUCCUGUUUGCCUGGCCAUUAUUGCUCUGCGCCUGGCCUGUCCUCCCCAUCUGGGCCCUGCAACCCAGGUUUCUACUGCAUCCAGGGAUCCAGAACGGCCACACCUAUGGGUGACACCUCAGGAGAUUCCACGUCGCCAUCUCCACUACCUGGUGAUUCAACCCUGGAACAGUUCACUGGCAGUGUGUGUCCUGCAGGCCAUUACUGUCCUAAAGGGAGUGCAAAGCCAAGCCCUUGUCCUCCAGGAACCUUCUUGGGAAGGUCUGCGGCUGAGUCUCAGACUGAUUGUGAGGCUUGUUACUCGGGCUCUUACUGCCCCUCCUGGGCUCAGAGCUUUGUCGACCUCCUCUGUCCCCCGGGGUGGUUCUGUCCACCCGGAUCAGUGUCCGGACAUCAGCCAGGAUGUCAGUGCCCGCCCGGCCAUGCGUGCCCACCUGGCAGUGCCGAGCCGGCCCUCUGUAGCCAUGGCAGUUUUCAAUCUUCCUCUGGACAGUCCACUUGCAACACCUGCCCACCAGGUUUCUUCUGUACUCGGGGUUCAUCCGUGCCAUCGGCGUGUCCGAUGGGCAGCGUCAGUCCCUCGGCUGGCAUUACGUCCCCGACGGACUGCCCCGCCUGCCCCGCUGGCUACUUCUGUAACAGCAGUGCUCUGACAGAGCCGUCCGGAGCCUGCAGCCCAGGACAUUUUUGUUCCCUGGGAUCCACGGAGCCUUCCCCUGUCUCGCAGCCUUAUGGAGAUGUCUGCCCCGUAGGACACUUUUGUCCUGGGAGUAGCGGGUCACCCAAACCAUGUCCUGUCGGCAGCUUCCUCCCAGAGCGUGGAGCUUCUGCCCGCUCUCACUGUCACCGUUGCCCCCCAGGGAAAUACUGCCCGACUCCUGGAAGCUCACAGCCCACAGGUCUGUGCUCUGCAGGUUUCUUUUGUUCUGGAGGGGCAGAUAGCCCCACGCCUCGAGCCUCUGUGUUCAGCUGUCUUUGUGAGAUACUGGAGGUUUACACCACAAAGAAAGACGCCGCACUCUGGAUUCACAAUCUGCCCUGCUUCAAUAAUUCCAGUAGUUCUGGAAGCGACGCUAACUGGAUCGAAGUGGUGACGGCGACGGAGGCGGACUCGGUGACUCACUCACCGCUGUGCCUCAAGAGUCCACAUCGGAGCUGCUCCUCGUACAGAGGAGACAUCUGCCCUAAGGGUUUCUAUUGUCCCGUGGGCUCUUCCUACCCCCAGCCCUGUGAAGCUGGAUCUUACUGUGACCAGAUUGGGCGAGAGGCCCCUGCAGGGCCUUGUGCUGCAGGAUAUCACUGUCCCAAAGGCUCUUUGAACCCCCAUGCCACCCCUUGCCCCACAGGACACUACUGCCCCGCCGGAACUCCUCUUCCUCGGUCGUGUCCCAUUGGGACCAUAAAAAGUUCCCUGGGUGGGUCUACGGUGGGGGAUUGCCAGAUGUGUCCCCCAGGUCACUUCUGCCACCAGAGAGGAAUAGCUGAGCCAAGUGGGCAGUGUGCAGAAGGCUACUAUUGUCCUGAGGGACAGAGCUCCGAGAGACCACAACAACAUGUCUGCUCACUGGGACAUUAUUGUGAAAAGGGAAGUAUCAGACAGAAGGCCUGCCUCCCCGGCAGCUACCAGCUAAGACAAGGCCGCGGCAGCUGUGAGACAUGCCCUUCCGGUUUCUACUGUCGAGAUCAAGGAGUGACCCAUCCACUCCCUUGUGAGAGAGGAUUUUAUUGUCCCGGCGGAUCAGCAAAUCAACAUCCCUGUCCGGCUGGAACUUACGGAAACAUGUCAGGACUGGUUGAAGAGUGGCAGUGCUCAAUGUGUGACCCUGGGAUGUACUGCAAAGGAACAGGGAGGACUUUUGCCAGCGGGCCGUGUGCUGCAGGGUUUGUUUGUGUUGGCGGAGCCUCUGAAUCUUCACCACUCGAUAAUGUGACUGGCUUCCCAUGCCCUCCCGGCUUCUUCUGCUCCGUGGGGACUUCUUCUCCAAAAGCAUGCCCGAAAGGAACAUUCAGUGAGCAGAGCAGGCUGGUGGAGGAGUCCCAGUGUCGUAGCUGCAUUCCAGGCUUCUACUGUUCAGAGAUCGGCCUCUCGGUAGUCUCUGGGCCCUGCCUGCCAGGUUUUUACUGUCUAGAGGGAUCCCAGACUGCUGCCCCAAUGUCAAGUGAAUCUGGAAGUGUUUGUCCCGCGGGCCACUACUGCGCAGAGGGCAGCAGCGUUCCCACACCCUGUCCGGCUGGCUCUUACCGGAAUGAGACUGGAGGAAAAAGCAAAGAUUACUGCAAAACAUGUCCUCUUGGCUGGUUCCAGGAUUUAUCGGGCCAAACAGAGUGUGAUCCCUGCCCUGCUGGGUUCCACUGCCAGUACCCGAGUAGCAGCCCCACCAUGGGAGGCCCUACUGGAGUCUCCAGCCCUCUGCCCUGCCCGGCCGGCUACAUAUGUCCCAGGGAGAAUCCAGACAGUCACCCUUUUCCCUGCCCCAAAGGCACCUACAGCCCCCGCCACGGUCUCACCUCCACAGGUGAGUGCUUUGUGUGUCCAGCGGGUCAGUUUUGUGGGUCUGACGGGUUGGUUCAGCCUUCGGGGCCGUGUGCUGCUGGGUUUCUGUGUUUGAUGGGCGCCACAGUGCCCAACCCGACUGACAACAGAACUGGAUCUCUCUGUCCACCCGGGAAAUUCUGCCAACGGGGGCAAACAGCAGGGGAUUGCUGGGCAGGGUUUUAUUGCGACUGGGGCUCCAGCAGAGCAGAUACGGCUCUGUGCCCUGCUGGUUUCUUUUGCCCCAGAGGGACACUGGUCCCAAUCCCUUGUUCUGCAGGAACAUUUAGCUCUGAAACAGGAAACAUACAUCAAGACAAUUGCACUACAUGCACACCUGGGUACUACUGUCAAGUUAAAGGUACUAUACAGCCUUCCUUAUGUCCCGCUGGAUACUACUGUCCUCCGGGGAUGUCUCUAGGACGAGAGUUCCCCUGCCCUCCUGGCACUGUGCAGAACCGACUCGGAGCCUCCGAUCCCGACGCCUGCCUGCCCUGUCCUGCCGGAAAGUUCUGCUCUCAACCCGGUCUGUCGCAGCCAACAGGACCUUGCGAGGCCGGCUACUACUGUCCUGCUGGUUCAACCAGCCCUAACUCUACUGCUUAUCAGGGGAAUUCUACCAUAGGACACCUUUGUCGUCCAGGUCACUAUUGCCCCUCUGGCAGCGGCUAUCCCCUCCCCUGCCCGGCAGGCUCUUAUUCCAUCUCGCAUGGACUGAGGGGAGUUGAUGGAUGCCUGCCCUGCCCCCCUGGACGGUUUUGUGACAGGCCUGCAAUAGCAGAGCUCUCCGUUGCACCCCCAUGUCAUGCUGGGUAUGUGUGCCUGGGUGGCAGCUCCAGUGCCACCCCAUCCGACGGUUCCCAUGGCUACCUCUGCCCCUCGGGCCACAGCUGUCCCGUUGGCUCAGCAAGUGAGGUGCCCUGUGAGACCGGCACGUACAGUCCUGCCACUGGAGCAGCUCACUGCUUAAUAUGUCCCAAAGGGUUCAUGUGUUCCUACUUAGCAACUCAAGAGCCUUCUGUCUGUCCAGCUGGUCAUUUUUGUCCUGCUGGGACCGUGCUGCCUGAGCUCUGUCCGUUGGGGACUUUCAGCAACAAGACAGGAGCCUUUUCUCUCUCUGUGUGCACACCCUGUCCCUCUGGAGUGUACUGUAGCUCAUACGGAGCCUCAACACCAGACGGUUCUUGUUUGCAGGGUUAUUUCUGCACGGGGGGAGCCACACAGCCAACACCGCACAGCUCUGACAACUCCCCAGUGAAUGGCCCUUGCCCCGUGGGCCAUUACUGCCCAGCAGGGUGCCUCGCCCCAAUUCCCUGCCCUCUCGGCAGUAUUCGCAAAACCAUAGGAGGGGUGUCCAUGGAGAGCUGCUCCGCCUGUCCCGCUGGUCACUACUGCUCUGCGGAGGGUCUUGCUAGCCCCAGUGGCCCGUGUGCAGCUGGUUUCUACUGCCCUUUUGACUACUCCUCGACCACUCCAUAUGCCUUCUUGUGUCCCAAGGGCCAUUACUGUCCAGAAGGCUCCGUUCUGCCCCUGCCUUGUGCCACAGGAGAGUACCAGCCAAACCCGGGCUCAGACGGCUGCGUCCCAUGCCGAUCUGGGUUCUACUGUGAGGAGGCCAUAGUGGGAGAGCCAUGGCCCUGCCCACCACACUCAUUUUGCCCUGCAGGCACAAUGGUGCCUCUGCUCUGCCCCAAUGGGACAUACACUCCUUCAAACCAGGGAGGACUACAAGAAGAGCGAGAGUGUUUACCCUGCCCUCCAGGGAAAUUCUGCAGGGCUGGUAGGAUCCAGGGUUUGUGCGCGGCGGGCUAUCUUUGUGUUUCUGGCAGUGCAGAUGUCACCCCUGAGGCGCCACUGUCUAACAUGACACAGUGCCAGUGGGGCAUGCAGUGUGCUGGACCAUGUCCACCAGGUUUUUACUGUCCUGAGGGAACGGAGGAAGCUAAGUUCUGUGCUGCAAACACCUUCAGAAGCUCCCCGGGAGGUGCCAGCCUACCUGACUGUUUACCCUGCCCACCUCAGCAUUGGUGUAAACCGGGAGACCCAGUCCUUCAUCCGUGUCCGCCCGCUCAUUACUGUGACGGUCUGCCUGGAAGUGACUUUAAUGGAGGCACAGGACCCAGGCCAUGUCCGCUGUACACCUAUCGAGCUUUACCGGGAGCAGGCAGCAAGGGUGACUGCCUGCCCUGCCCUCCUGGUUCUCACUGUAACAGAACAGGGCUUACAGACUACUCCAACAGUCGGUGCCCGCCUGGUUUCUGGUGCAGCGGGUCUGGACCCCCCAUUCUCUGCCCUGCAGGCACCAAAAGGCCCCGUCCUGGAGCUGCUUCACCAAGCCAAUGUGAACCGUGUUCAGGGGGAACCUUCUGCCCAGAUCCGAGAGCAACAGGGAGGCCGAAUGUGGAGGGGAUCCCCUGCAGGGCCUCCUAUCAAUGCCCAACUGGUGCAGUCUCGGAGAGUCUGUGCAGAGCCGGCUCAUACUGUGGACCUCAUACUGAUGAGCCUGCAGUCUGUCCCAAAGGGUAUCUUUGUCCUGAGGGAUCUCAUACCUACAACACCCCCAAGCAACUAUGCCCUUUUCCUUACUACUGUCCAGCAAACAGCUCCUUCAUGAGGUCCUGCAAGGGAGGAUUUAUGCCCAUCAACACCAGCGACCUCAGAGGAUCCAAAAACAGCUGUUGUCGUGUGUGUGAGGGGGGCACCUAUCGCCCGUACCUCUCCCCCAUCCUGCAAUGUCUUCCAUGUCCACCGGGAUACUUUUGCUCUCCAGGUACAACCGACUACAAAAGUUCCCCCUGCCCUGUUGGGUAUCGCUGUCCAAAGGGAGCCGCCCAACCAAUAGCCUGCCCUCCUGGCUUCUUUGGUAACAUUACUCAUGCUGAGACAUUGAGUGACUGUCACCUGUGUCCAGCUGGCACCUUCAACCACCUGCUUGCUCAGAAGGCCUGCUUCCCCUGUGGCAGCUCCUCCACCUCAACAGCCGGUUCUUCUUCUUGCACCUGUAUCGGUAAGAAUCGGGCAUUUCAGCACUCGGAUGGUUCAUGUUUGUGCAGAACUGGUUUCAUCUUCUACAAUGAACUGGACUUCAAAAGUUCUACCUCUGACAGUGAAUUGGACUGCCAGCCUGAGGUGAACAGACGGUGUUCUGCUGGUCAGGUACGUCUGGCAGCAUCCAGGGAGUGUGUGACACCUUCCCUCCACUCCUGCAAUACAACCUGUGGACAACAUGGAGGAACUCUGGAUGUGGCGAUGGGCAUCUGCCGGUGUGAGCGAUAUGUGUCCGCUGAAGAGCUUUGCAACACGUCCUGCCUCUUCACACUACCUCAGCUCUCCGCCCAGAUCUCACCAGACGGGCACCUGCUGCUCAGCUUAAAAGAAAGAGACAAGAUGGUGUGGGCAAGGACUGUGAUGGAUGUUUUAGGACCAGAUAUCCACGCAAAGGGUAUUGGUAAAAUCCAUUUGAUCCAGUUUGAUCCUGAAGGCGUGUUUGGUUGGAUUCCAACACAGAAAGAGCUCAUCAAUAACUUUCUGUCAGAACCGAUUAAACUCCUGAAGACAAGACAAAGAAAGAGGAGAGACAUGGAAGAUGCCGAGGAUUAUGAUGCUUCUGACACAGCUGUCCUUCCUCGUAUCCCCAACCCCAUUGUCUGUCUGUCCUCGGGUGACAUGCUCAUUUUCCAUCUCACCAUCAACCACACUGACCGACAUCGGAGCCACUUUCCAGUGUAUCAGAAAGACCACCUGUUUAACAGUAAUCCCAGUUGGGACUUUGGUGCCUUCAGACGACUGCAGAUACUCAUGAAGCAGACCAACUUGAACUCUACAAGGUUCGCCCACGUGUUUUCAGCAGCUGGGAAGUACGCGUUUGUCGACAGCACCGUCCCAGAGCGGAGUAUGGUGGUGGUGGUCAGUGAUCAGGGGACAGUCUGUGACCCUCGGGCCUCCGUCUUCCAGCCCAUGACCCCGGCACAGCUGGUGAAGCACGGGAUUAUCAAGCAGCACAGACUCAACCUUCUUCCUGACUGGGGAGUGAUAGCAGGGGUCCUUGGUCUGCUGCUGGUUCUCGUUGUGGUUUUGACCACCACCGUGAUAGUUCUGCGACCCGGUAAAGCAAAACUCGUCUCCCAAUGGAGGAAUAAGCCCAAGUGGCGCAGCCUCGGGGAGCCCUUCUGUCCGGUGGAUUGUGUUUGCAGUGAAGACAACAAAGUUGUCCCAAGCGUAGGUGGCUUACUAGGUAGUAGAGGUGAAGGAGAGGGAGCAGAAGCCGAGGAGCCCGCUGUUUCAAAAGGAGGAAAUGUUCCAGGGCGCUGCGAUUUGGAGGAGUUGAAUGUCAAGACUCUGUUUGACAAACUGGAGGAUCAGAACUUACACUUCGCCUCACAACUGGCCCGACACCGCAAAGACACACAGGAGUUUUAUAGAAACAUCUGUCAACAGACUGAAACACUCAAGAAUGUCCUAGACAAUAUGGAUCAUAGAAAACUAAGCUUUCUAAAGGAACUGCUUGUCCAUAAUGCAAUGAAGAAUAAACCAUUCGACUGCAGUGCAAGAGGGAGAGAUUUACAAGUUGAGACCUCUACAGCAUUACUAGGAGAUGUACUCCAGUCAGUAGAAGCUCUUCUCUGCAAGCUGGCGGGAGAAGCUUGGCAGAACCAGGAUUUAGCCGCCCCUCCAUACUGUCACAUUGGUCCUCGUGAUGCCAGGGAAUGUGAACCACGAGCUGGAUACAGACAAUCUGGUGACAACAUGUGUUAUACACAGUUUUCGUCAGCGAAUGUGAUCAAAGCAGAGCCAGUACAUCUACCGAGCACAGAGUCCUGUUUCAGUGACCACGACUUGUCCAGACUGCUACAGAACAGUCUGUCCAGGAAAACAAUGAAGGGCAACUUAUCCCGACUGCCCUCGACAACCUCUCCGUGCAACACUCAGCCGUCUUCCUGUUCGGUUGCCAGGUGAUGCAGUUGCUUGCGAACAGCCACCUGUUCCCCCCUGUGCUUCUCCUAAUGGCCAAGUCGAUACCUGUUCCUUUAUCUUCCCCAAAUGAGGGUCUGCUGACACAUUGUUCAAGGGACUUUUAUUUUGAUGCAUCCAAUCAAAUCCUUUAUCUGUCAGAGGAAAAGCUUCAUCACGUUGGACAUUUCAUCGCCCUCAUUCUGCAGUCCAUGGCCUACAUAGUGUCAGGAUCCAAACCUCUGAGUUUCAUGGAAGCCCUUCAUGAGGCAAUAUCAGCUUUAAGCCUUCAGCUGUUCAACGUUUCUUUCAAAUGGAACACACCAGGGUCAAAUUCCAACGCUUCAGAGGGGCAGCAUAGUGCAUUAGUGGAAGAGUUUCUCAACACUAGAAUUCCCACUGAACCACAGUUUACCGAACACCUUUUAGCUUGCAGGCUUCAGAAACAGCUUAUGACAAACCUCAAACAGAUUUCAACUGAGGACACAAACACAGCAGGUUUGCCACCAAAAGGGACACCAAUGCAGAUGUCCUGCAUAGAAGACGAAAUUGACCGAAUGAGUGAGUCUUUCUUGCAGCUGAGCGUGCAGCUACAGAAGAGAGCUCAAAUGAGCACAUGGCUAAAGGAGAGAGAAAAUGGAGCUGGCAACCAUUCUGUGCAGGCAAUACCAACGAGCAUACCAAGUCUCAGUCGUAAUGGAACGAUCCUGCUGGAGCUGAAGAGAUCCUAUGUAUCACAGCGCCUCAACGAGCUCCAAAUGACAUUAGGCCGCAUCAGACAGAGCCAGCAGCGUGACAGCGAGUCAAAAAAUGGAACAAGAGGCCGCAUGCAAACCGACAGCAGCGCCACUCAGCAGGAGCAGAGCGACCAUUAUCCUGGCGUAGCUGAUUGGGGUCCGCUUGGCGGCCAGCGGCCGGACAGUUUUCCAUCUGACACGAGUCACAGCCAGCAAAGAGCAGAGAGCAGAGGUCCCGGUAACUCUAAACCGGAGAGUCGUAUAUCCGACCAGCUGAUGAGUGACACUGUCCAGAGCAACAACCCAGACGCAUCACUAGACUGCUAGAAGUCGUGUCUCUGUAUCCCAAGGGUGCAGGAGGCUUUGGUACACGUUUGUUUUGAUGCACAGAAUAAUACAAUUUCUUGUAUGUUUAAUCAGAGCUAAGUGUGUUGUUUUUAAUAAUGUAUGAUCUUGAAUUCUCAGGCAGGACUUAUUGUGUUCUGUUUAUUACCAUAUUCUAAAGAAGACGAUAAUCUUCAACUCGGUAGAUUCAAAAUGUGCUUCUGUGUUGUUUCUUACUCACAAACACUUCUCCCUUUUGUAGCGGUGACAACCUCUGUCUUCAUAAGUAUUUCAUGUUUGUCCGUUUUCUUCAUCUCAAAGCUCCAUUCAAAAUCUUGCUGGAAAGGUCUAUGCUUCCUUCCUCACUCGGGUUCCUCGGUUUGUCUGACGCACAGGGUUCUGGUUCUUUUAAUAGAAAGUGAGUAUUCCUACAGGGGACUGCGGGCCAAAUCAGAAGGUCAGAUGGAACAAGUCUUCACUUACUAUCAGUGUUAGCUUAGAGCUCUGUGACAACUCCCCCGAGGUGCAAUUUGGCAUUGCCCUGUAGAUUUGUGUGUGUGUGUAUGUGUAUGUGUUUGUGUGCGUACGAGGGGUGUGGUUCAGUGACUCCUUGAGAUUAUACGCCUUAUCAAUUAGAUUAGCUGCUAUGUGUUAGUGAUUUGGCCUCACGGUGAGACAAGGCAUCAUAUAACACGGCUCCUGAGCCCUGUGUUUCUACAUUAGCGGUACAGCGUUAUGUUUGCUCUAGUUGUUGGGCUCAACACAAGUGUUAUUUUUAGACACCGUCUUUUGUGAUUUGUGUGUGACAGUAUGUGUAUAUAUGUUUGAAUACUAUAUGUAUACGAUUGCAAAAUAUCCAAAUUAAAUACAAAACAUAUUCCAUGAGGUCUGCCAUGUACUCUAAUACAAUGCUAAAUGCUAAAGUUCUAACAGUGGGUCAAGAAUCAGCUGUCUUUUGUUGUAUAAACACAGCAAAACCUUUUUUUUUAAUUGCAUUGGAAUAGCAGAUUUCUUUGUGUACAUUUGUGAAUUCAAUACAUGGAUUAUAUAAUUGCAUAGAGUGCUGCACAGAUACAGAUGCAUCUAGAAUGCAUAUGAAAGAUGCUUGUAGAGAUAAACCAAAUUCCGACGUUAAGUUACAGUAUAUAUUUUUUCUAGCAAACCCCCACAAGAUUUACAUCUCAGUUUCCAACAUGUUUCAUCCACGGCAGUCUGCCGUAAUCAUGUUAUAAUCUUGAAAUCCUUCCAAAUCCCUAGAAAUCUGCUCUCCUCUGACCCAAAACUGGCCCUGUACACAUGCACACGCGUAUGUAUACAUACAUGCUCUCACUAACACACGCUCAUGUGUCAACUGCUGGUGAAUGCUGUUUUCUUGCUCUCCAGUCUUGGAAUUGAUGCACCCUUUUUUGGGAUGCAUUUACCAUAAAAUACGCAAAAGUGCUUCAUUCAUCACCUGCUGUGAAACCCCUUUGAGCUGCACACAGAAAAACACAGAGUGUAAAAGCACAUGAUUUAAUACAUAUGUUAAAUCAUUUUCUUUGAGAGGAUUUUCUUUUAUGACUAAGUCAAAACAUUAAGCUCUUAAAAAAUAUAGAGCUGCGUUUGAGCCUUCCUGUUUUAAGCCUGUGGUCUGUCGCUAAGGAGGUCUCUCGUCACCAUGGCACUGCAUUACUGUUUCUAUGGUUUCCUUAUCUGCAGGAUGUGGUUCAUCCAAGCCUGCCAUAUUUAGUCUGCUUCUC